Molecule: long non-coding RNA, 361 nt
Organism: Catharus ustulatus (Swainson's thrush)
Lineage: Eukaryota; Metazoa; Chordata; Aves; Passeriformes; Turdidae
Exons: 3
Source: RefSeq, a predicted model, not a curated record
GGGGACUGGAAUCAACAAAUGAUAUCACAGCUCAGCAAGUGCUAAUAAAUCAGUGCUGCUCUGCUCUCCUGCCUCCAUCCCUGCCCUGGGCUGAGGAUUUAUUUGUUUCUGAGCUCAAACAACUCCCCUGCUGGAGCCCAGCCCUCAGGCUGUACCUGGCCAGUCCUCUGCCAGCACCGAGGCGAUUUUCCCUUUCCCUGGGAUGUGGGAAUGGAAGGAACGUGUGUCACACUGGUGAGAGCUCAUUUUGGCAGCCCCACCUUCUGUCCUGCACUAGGAGCUUUGGGAGGGCAGAACUUUCUGGCAGGUGAAGUGCCAUCCUGCAAAGCAGUCACUGAAUUUCCUGCCACAGGCUGGGUGU